Molecule: long non-coding RNA, 1688 nt
Organism: Phascolarctos cinereus (koala)
Lineage: Eukaryota; Metazoa; Chordata; Mammalia; Diprotodontia; Phascolarctidae
Source: Ensembl
AGAGCACCAGCCCUGAAGUCAGGAGGACCUGAGUUCAAAUGCGACCUCAGACCAAACACUUGACAUGUACUAGCUGUGUGACCCUGGGCAAGUCACUUAACCCCAAAUGCCUCAAAAGUAAAAACAAAAAACAAAAAAAAAAGAAUUGAAUACAGAAGCAAUUUGAUUAAGGCAGGAUACAGUGGGACCACUACCUAUCUGCCUUGUAUUAGAAGAACCUUUCACUUGCAGUCAGAAAAUCAGGCUUCCAGUGUUAUCUUUCAUGUUUACUCAUCUGUUUAAACAAGAUCAAGUAAUUUCACAACUCUGAUUUUUAGGUAACAUAUAUGUAAUCUCACCCACAGGUAAAUUGCCAUGGAAAACUAGUGAGCCAAGAAGAGGUUCCCAUUUGAGGGAUCCUGCCUUUACCCAAAGAUCCCCAAGCUUCUGAUGGUUUUUAAACCAGGAAGAAUUUCCAGGAAGUCACAUGUCUGAGAAGCAGAUAAGAAAAGUGGAAAGAAGGAAGAGAAGGAAGUCUGGUAUCUGCCUCUACACCAGAAAACAGGCAAAGCAAAUAGACCUUAGGUCUUCUGGGAUGGCAGAACAUUUAUGAAGCUCCAUGGGAAGUCCUAGACUGGAGGGCUAAUGAAGAACCAGCAGUUCCAAUGGGUUCUUGAAAGCAAAGCAACACUUGUUCUUGCCAGUGGGAAAAUGGCACCAGUAAAUCCACACUGGAGAAAUUCCCUAUUUCCCAAAGAUUUAUGGACUUAACAACUGAGAAUUUUACCAAUGUAUAGUUUUCUGUCAUGCACACGUCAUUCUAACCCACUCGAAGAAAAAAAAAAGAAUUCCCACAAAAUGAGGGAAAUGCUGUGAACCUUUAAUGAUUGAAAAAUUCACAAACCUACGAGCUCUUGGAAUGGGAUUUAUCAGAUGGUAAAAUAAUAAUACAUUUUCCCCUUUACUGAUUAAUGUGUCUGUCAUACUGUGAAGGAAAUAGUGAGGAGAGUGAAAUGUGACUAUUUGGUAUCUCUAUGCUAUGUGUGUUGGUGUGUGGACAGAAUGACGGGGAAGACCUCCAGGGAUCUUAGCCAUAUUCCUCCACAAUAGAAUAUAUUACAUAACUCUUCCUCAUUGAACUGUGAUUAUAACCAAGUCACCUUCAUAAACAGGAAUACGGUGAAACUAAUUAGGUGCUGACAAAAAGCAAAUAUUGUACUCCUAAUUAGAACUUCUCCUGCUUGAAACCCUGCUUUGUUACUGAUAUUCCAGUGUGAAUGAUGUGUGAAUCAUAACAGCACCUUACAGAGCAGGCUCUGAAGGAUGAAAAAGACAGGCGCAGUGUCACAGUUGAUGAAUACCUUUGGAAAGCUCUCCUAAUCUGGAGUCAAUGAAAUGCAAUCCCCCAAACAGCUGCUUUGACUGAUUUGUAUACUGGCAUAAUUAGGCACAAAAAUGGUCCGUGGGCACAUUCUCCACAUUCGUUUGUUGCUAUAGCUCUCAGAUCACUCCCUCUUUCUACUUAACAGGUUGCUUACCCCAGUGAGGUCUGAAUAUUUAGCAGGACCAGAGAAAGGAAUGCAAAGGGCAACUGGAAUUUGAUCAUUUGGUAGCCUUUGGUCAGUUACUGCCCUAAUUCCUAAAUAGAUUAAUAGAAAGAUAGAUAUUGAUAUAAUAAAUAUAAAAAUAUGUAACGUCUAUAGAUAUAU